GCUUUCUUUUUCAAGCCGUUCCGCUCAUCAUCGAAGAGCUUUGGCAAGGUGGGUUAGAGCGCCGGAUCGAACGCACGCACUGCAGCAAUUCAAGGAUCUAGGGUUCGACCCCUACCUUACCAGUCUUAACUUGGAUAAACAUUGUGCUGGCAUGCGGUAGUAUAUCAGUAGUAUGUGACGUCCCUUCAAAACCCCGGGGUAGCGGUAGUACUGCACUGGCUGGAUUUCCUACCUACAGUGUAGAGCGUAUCUGCAACGACAACCAUCCACCUCUCUAAAUUUCCAUGCACUUUAUUUUUCUUAAUGGCCAGUAAAUCAUAUGCUAUUUUCCCCUGAGCAUCAGGCACCUCUGCGUGAUUCCACCAACUUCCUGGUCGGAGGUGCAGACACAUGUUGGGAGCCUACAAACGAGCUAGAAGAAACAGCCGUUAGAACAGUGACUCCAAGUGUGUUGGCAUGUCGGCUGGUUGCACCUGCGGCCUCCCCCACUGCAAUAACGCGGACAGACAGUGCCAGCACCUUUACAGGCGCCCCUGGAGCGUUGGGUUGCCCACCUGCGGC
This 561-nucleotide long non-coding RNA is filed under the name Ixodes scapularis (black-legged tick). RNAcentral's name for it is "uncharacterized LOC121836206". Lineage: Eukaryota; Metazoa; Arthropoda; Arachnida; Ixodida; Ixodidae. The record is from RNAcentral.